ACAUAACUGAUGCCUCCGCGUAUCGACUUUGUGCGCAUUUUAGCUAUUAUGUGUUCUUUUAAUUAAAAUGAUUCUUUUUAAGAUUCAUCUAUUAAAAAUUUGCUUCGGCAUAAUUUUUUUUGAUGAUCUUGUUACUUUGAGUAAAUUAGAGUGUUCAAAGCAAACAGAUAUAGCAUUUGUGCGUUUGAAUGCUACAGCAUGGAAUAACAAAAUUGAACAAGUCAGAAUUUUUUUGUUCUUUUUUCUUAUUUUGGCUUAGUUACGAUUAAUAGGAGUAGCUUGGGGGCAUUUGUAUUCAGAUGUCAGAGGUGAAAUUCUUAGAUUUUCUGGAGACAAACAACUGCGAAAGCAUUUGCCUAAAAUACUUCCAUUAAUCAAGAACGAAAGUUAAGGGAGUGAAGACGAUCAGAUACCGUCGUAAUCUUAACCAUAAACUAUGCCGACUAGGCUUUGGAUGAAAGAUUUUAAAAUAAGAGUUUUUCUUUUCUCUCCGGAGAUUAGAACUCUUAGAUUGCUUCCUUCAGUGCCUUAUGAGAAAUCAAAGUCUUUGGGUUCUGGGGCGAGUAUUCGCGCAAGCGAGAAAGUUAAAAGAAUUGACGGAAGGGCACCACCAGGCGUGGAGCUUGCGGCUUAAUUUGACUCAACACGGGAAAACUCACUAGUUUAAGACAAGAGUAGGAUUGACAGAUUAAUAGCUCUUUCUUGAUUUCUUGGAUGGUGAUGCAUGGCCGUUUUUAGUUCGUGAAUAUGAUUUGUCUGGUUAAUUCCGAUAACGAACGAGAUCUUAACCUGCUAAUUAGCGGCAAAUACGAUAUAUUCUUAUGUAGAAUUGAAUAUAGUGGAUUUGUUGGAUUUUGAAGAAAAUAUUGGAAUUACGUUAAAUGUGAUUCCUUUCCCUUUUCUACUUAAUUUACAUUUCCAUCUAUUUCUUUUUUGCGUAUGAAUGUAUUUGCUUGAUUGUAAAGCUUCUUAGAGGAACGAUGUGUG
RNAcentral lists this ribosomal RNA (987 nucleotides) under Plasmodium knowlesi. RNAcentral describes it as "SSU rRNA". It matches the Rfam family "Eukaryotic small subunit ribosomal RNA", at positions 638 to 1428 of the family's 1831-position model. The record is from RNAcentral. Lineage: Eukaryota; Apicomplexa; Aconoidasida; Haemosporida; Plasmodiidae.